This 594-nucleotide long non-coding RNA is filed under the name Elaeis guineensis (African oil palm). Its description in RNAcentral is "long non-coding RNA (EGUI_LNC016153)". The record is from RNAcentral. Lineage: Eukaryota; Viridiplantae; Streptophyta; Magnoliopsida; Arecales; Arecaceae.
GGAUUUUCUUUCCCCUUUUUCAUAUUCGUUUUUUUUUGUACCUCUUCUUCAAUCUAUGUUGUUGACUGUCUCCAUGUUCAUUUAAGGAUUACUUCUUUAGCUUAGAAUUUGGGAUAGCAGGACCAGAAUCUGACCGUUUUUAUGGAUAAUCGUGGAAUUUGUUAAGAAGCUACUACUGUUUAAAAUUGUGGAAAAUGUAAGCACUGUUGCUUUGCAUUAUUUUGGCUUUGGUAGAAUUUGCAUGCAUUAUUUAAAUCCUGAAUGCAUCUGGCUUGGAAUGUUCGUGGUGUAAUGAAUAAAAAGUGUCAUUUUAGUAUUUCUGGAAAAUCUUUAGUCAAGGGAAUUGCACUGUAGUCUAAUCACUUCGAAUUACAUUAUAUUUCCAUUUAAAGAAAGCUAGCAAUGUUAUGUCAUAUAACUACUCUCUCUCUCUCUCUCUCUCUCUCUCUNNNNNNNNNNNNNNNNNNNNUUUCCUACUUUAAAGUAAAAGACUAGCAAUAGUUAUUGUCAUAUAACUACUCUCUCUCUCUCUCUCUCUCUCUCUCGUAUAGAGAUCUAUUUGAAGUAUUAUGCUCUAUGUACUUCUGUUUGCAG